GUGAAUCAUCGAAUCUUUGAACGCAAAUUGCGCCUUUUUCGGAAGGCAUGUCUGUUUGAGGGACCCAUUUAACAAAUAAUGUGCAGCGUUUUUUGUUGCACACGUUGAUGAGCUUUCCACGGAUUUUAAAUUUUUGGUUGCGCAUAAUGAACAGCGUGAAAGAUUUUUUCAGUUGGAGGGUAGUCA
Molecule: unclassified non-coding RNA, 186 nt
Filed under: Paraglomerales sp.
Lineage: Eukaryota; Fungi; Glomeromycota; Glomeromycetes; Paraglomerales
Description: partial contains 5.8S ribosomal RNA and internal transcribed spacer 2
Rfam family: 5.8S ribosomal RNA (bases 1-65)
Source: RNAcentral